CGUAGGCGGCCGGUCGCGUCGGAUGUGAAAGCCCCGGGCUCAACCUGGGAGGUGCAUCCGAUACGGGCUGGCUUGAGAGCGGGAGAGGAGUGUGGAAUUCCCAGUGUAGAGGUGAAAUUCGUAGAUAUUGGGAAGAACACCAGUGGCGAAGGCGGCACUCUGGCCCGUUUCUGACGCUGAGGCGCGAAAGCGUGGGGAGCAAACA
This 205-nucleotide ribosomal RNA is filed under the name uncultured bacterium. RNAcentral's name for it is "partial 16S ribosomal RNA". It matches the Rfam family "Bacterial small subunit ribosomal RNA", at positions 570 to 774 of the family's 1533-position model. The record is from RNAcentral.